Molecule: ribosomal RNA, 253 nt
Filed under: uncultured bacterium
Lineage: Bacteria
Description: partial 16S ribosomal RNA
Rfam family: Bacterial small subunit ribosomal RNA
Source: RNAcentral
UACGUAGGGGGCAAGCGUUGUCCGGAUUUAUUGGGCGUAAAGAGCGUGUAGGCGGCUUUGCAAGUCCGUUGUGAAAACUCGAGGCUCAACCUCGAGACGCCGGUGGAAACUGCAAAGCUAGAGUCCGGAAGAGGAGAGCGGAAUUCCUGGUGUAGCGGUGAAAUGCGCAGAUAUCAGGAAGAACACCCGUGGCGAAGGCGGCUCUCUGGGACGGUACUGACGCUGAGACGCGAAAGCGUGGGGAGCGAACAGG